Molecule: long non-coding RNA, 2939 nt
Organism: Hippopotamus amphibius kiboko
Lineage: Eukaryota; Metazoa; Chordata; Mammalia; Artiodactyla; Hippopotamidae
Exons: 4
Source: RefSeq, a predicted model, not a curated record
GGAAAAGGACAGCAUGAAGAAGUACACUGAUGCAGAUUUAGCAGUCAGUGACAUAGAAGUUACAGCUGAAACCAAGAGAAUGAGGGAGGAUUCACCCAAGAAGGAAUAUGAAGGAGAGAACAGAGGACUGAAAGUUGGGAAGCACCCACAUUUAGGGCACAGGACAAACAGAAUGAGCCAAUGCAAGAGGGAACACAUGGCCUGGGAUGUGGGCGAGACUUAGACAGUGUUGCCAGGGAACUGAGGCAGUAGAGUGGUUAAGGAGGAGGACGCUGUCACCAGCACUGGAAGAAGGUGAAGCAGCGAGAAGAUGAGGACCUUAGGGGAAGAGUUAAUAAUGAUCUGGGAUGGGAAACCAGAUGCGAUGAGCCAGUGGGCACGGGUAGAACAAUGAAGCAGUUAGGAGGACAGGUUCUGAUGGCAGCUCUACCUGAAUCCUGGCUCCACCCAGACUGGGCAACUUAACACGCAGAAAUUGACCUAAGUUCCCAUGCAUUGGAUUGAAUAGCAUCCUUCCCAGAACCUCAGAAUGUGACCUUAUUUAGAAAUAGGGUUGUUGCAGAUAGUAAAGAUGAGGUUAUUCUAAAGUAGGGUGGGCCCUUAGUCCAAUACGACUGAUGACCUUAUAAGAAGAGGGAAGGACACAGAGAGAGACAUACAUGGGGAAGAUGACCACAUGAAGAUGGAAGCAGAGGCUGGAGGUAACAUGUAGCUGCAAGCCAAAGAAAGCUCGGGAUGCCUGGUAACACCAGAAGUUAGGAGAAAGGCACAGAACAGAUUCUCUCCUAAAAAUGAGAGAAUACAGCCCUGCUGACACCUUGAUUUUGGACUUCUAGCCUCCAGCACUGUAGUUCCAAACUACACAGACAAAGCUUUCACCACUUACGACACAUCUCAUUUUUGAUCAAAAGACAUAUCUUCCCAGGCUGGCCACUCAACUGACAUGACACCCAGCAACUUCUGACUAUUUCCAAAUGCCAAGUCCACCCUUAAAUUACAAACAUUAGCACCACUGAGGGCAUUUUUAAAAGAUAGUUCAAUAGUUAAGCCCUAACUGGCUACUCACUGAAGCAAUGAUGAAAUUUUUACUGGUGAAUUUCCGUCUGAGGUCCACUCAGCAAUUUCUAAGAGCUAUGGGGAAACUAAGAGUGGGAGCUGAGUGCCCUAGCUGAUACAACCUUUUCUGAAACUUGGAAUUCAGUCACGUGACCUUGGUUAUGAGGAAGGCUCUGAUUCAUCCUAUUCUAUUCUUAUGAUACCCUAAUACCCUCAGCAUUUAUGGUAUGUAUAUAUGUAUGUCUGUACCUGAGUACGCACUUACAUUAUAUGUAUAUAUAUAUAUAUACACAUAUAUAUUUACUGAGUACACACAUAUAUUAUAUAACAUAUAUAAAAUAUAUAUUAUCCCUAUAAUAUACAAUACAUAAAUGUAUAUGAUUAUACACAUUACUAUACGUGUUACAUAUAAUACAUGUUAAAAUAAUAUUAUUGUAUAUUAUACACAUGUAUAAUAACACAUAUUAUGUAUUAUAUUACACAUGUAUACAUGUUACACAUACAUACAUAUGUAUAUGUAAUUGUAUAACAUUAAUGUAUCCUCAGUCACAGGUUGUUUGUUAACUGUCUUCUUAUUGUUUCUAAUGUAUAUUUUAUUCUCUUAAGCCAGUGCUAAGGUCUUCAAGGAUAGGAACGAUGUUUUCUAUUUUUUAACACAUAUGAUUAGUAUAAUAAAAGAAAAAUGAUGAAAAUUAUAAACUUGGGUUUAUCUGAAAUAGAAACUUGGGUACCUAUAAAAACAAGAAAGUCAGCUGCUCUUAGCCACAGUCCAUUCCAGGACAGUAGAGAAAUAUCUGAAACUCCUCAGUGAAGAAAAUGUGGCUCACUGAUUUAAAAAAAAUUGUAUUUUAAGAUUCACUCAAAUUGAACUUUUUGAUACACAUUUUUAUGGACUUUAAUGCAUAUAUAGAUUCAUGUGUGCACCACCACAAUGAAAAUACAGAACAAGUCCAUCACCUCCCCAAAUACUCUGUGUUGUCCCCUUUUAGUCAAACCCACCCUUUACCCCAAAUGCUGAGAACAAAUCAGUUUUCAGUCACUACAGUUUUGUCUUUAGUUCCCUGGGGCUCCCCUUUAUGGGCCUCUGGGCAAAGCAUGGAGGUUUGGAAUCAUACAAUAUGCAACCUUUUGAGACUGGCUUUUUUUUUUCACUCACACAAUUACAAUGCCUUUAAGCUUAUCCAAGUUGCUGAGUGCACCAGUGGUUUUUUAAUUACUUCUUAUUACUGAGUAGUAGUUGACUGUCUGGUUUGUGCACAGUGUAUGUGUGGGAAGACAUUCUGGAACCUUUUUGAAACAUUGAAAAUGUUGAAGUAUGUGGGCCGAGCGAUGGGAUUCAGAAUGUCCUGCUUGAGCAGUGGAGGAGCUGAGGGUGCGGGGCGUGGAGACUAAUAUCACCCUGUUUGGUCCUGAAGGAUGGCUGGUUAGCCAAAGACGGGUAAGAUUCCUCAGAGGAGGAACAACCUAAGACAGGCACAGCCACAGAGGGGCCAACAGGGGUGGUGCAUAGAACCUUCCUUAUAUCACCGUGUUUGGCCCUGGAGGAUGACUGGUUAGCCAGAGACGGGUAAGAUUCCUCAAGGGAGGAACAACCUAAGACAGGCACAGUCGCAGAGGGGCCAACACGGGUGGGGCACAGACCCUUAAUCCUUUUGAGAGAGGUCUCCUGCCCCCAGGGCUGUUUUGCUCUCCACCCCCAGCUCAAAUCCACACCUGCUCAACUCGGACCCAGGAAGUAAACAAAGAUAAUUGCCUCAGUCAUGUGAGGCCUUUGAUUGUUUAUGAGUGUAACCUGAGAAUGUUAGCCCACGAACUCAAUAAAAGCAACCUGGGAUGAGUCAGCAGGGCUCUUGAUCCGAGAGGUCUUGAGCCCCCCGGUCCCA